GAGUUUGAUCCUGGCUCAGGACGAACGCUGGCGGCGUGCUUAACACAUGCAAGUCAAGGGGGCCCAGCAAUGGGCAACCGGCGAACGGGUGCGUAACACGUGAGCAACCUACCGAAAUGCGGGGGAUAGCCGGCCUAACGGCCGAGUAAUACCGCAUACGCUCUUUAUGAGGCAUUUCAUGGAGAGGAAACCUACGGGGUAUUUCGAGGGGCUCGCGGCCUAUCAGCUAGUUGGCGAGGUAACGGCUCACCAAGGCAACGACGGGUAGCUGGUCUGAGAGGAUGGCCAGCCACAUUGGGACUGAGAUACGGCCCAGACUCCUACGGGAGGCAGCAGUGGGGAAUCUUGCGCAAUGGCCUAACGGCUGACGCAGCGACGCCGCGUGUGGGAUGAAGCUCCUCGGAGUGUAAACCACUGUUGCCCGGGACGAAUAGCUCGAUUAAUCGAGCCUGACGGUACCGGGUGAGGAAGCACCGGCUAACUCCGUGCCAGCCGCCGCUGU
Molecule: ribosomal RNA, 502 nt
Filed under: uncultured bacterium
Lineage: Bacteria
Description: bacterial SSU rRNA
Rfam family: Bacterial small subunit ribosomal RNA
Source: RNAcentral